RNAcentral lists this ribosomal RNA (1016 nucleotides) under uncultured bacterium. Its description in RNAcentral is "bacterial SSU rRNA". It matches the Rfam family "Bacterial small subunit ribosomal RNA", at positions 357 to 1376 of the family's 1533-position model. The record is from RNAcentral.
AGGAAUAUUGGUCAAUGGGCGAGAGCCUGAACCAGCCAAGUAGCGUGAAGGAUGACUGCCCUAUGAGUUGUAAACUUCUUUUAUAAAGGAAUAAAGUCGGGUAUGCAUACCCGUUUGCAUGUACUUUAUGAAUAAGGAUCGGCUAACUCCGUGCCAGCAGCCGCGGUAAUACGGAGGAUCCGAGCGUUAUCCGGAUUUAUUGGGUUUAAAGGGAGCGUAGAUGGAUGUUUAAGUCAGUUGUGAAAGUUUGCGGCUCAACCGUAAAAUUGCAGUUGAUACUGGAUAUCUUGAGUGCAGUUGAGGCAGGCGGAAUUCGUGGUGUAGCGGUGAAAUGCUUAGAUAUCACGAAGAACUCCGAUUGCGAAGGCAGCCUGCUAAGCUGCAACUGACAUUGAGGCUCGAAAGUGUGGGUAUCAAACAGGAUUAGAUACCCUGGUAGUCCACACGGUAAACGAUGAAUACUCGCUGUUUGCGAUAUACAGCAAGCGGCCAAGCGAAAGCGUUAAGUAUUCCACCUGGGGAGUACGCCGGCAACGGUGAAACUCAAAGGAAUUGACGGGGGCCCGCACAAGCGGAGGAACAUGUGGUUUAAUUCGAUGAUACGCGAGGAACCUUACCCGGGCUUAAAUUGCAGAUGAAUUACGGUGAAAGCCGUAAGCCGCAAGGCAUCUGUGAAGGUGCUGCAUGGUUGUCGUCAGCUCGUGCCGUGAGGUGUCGGCUUAAGUGCCAUAACGAGCGCAACCCUUGUUGUCAGUUACUAACAGGUUCCGCUGAGGACUCUGACAAGACUGCCAUCGUAAGAUGUGAGGAAGGUGGGGAUGACGUCAAAUCAGCACGGCCCUUACGUCCGGGGCUACACACGUGUUACAAUGGGGGGUACAGAGGGCCGCUACCACGCGAGUGGAUGCCAAUCCCCAAAACCUCUCUCAGUUCGGACUGGAGUCUGCAACCCGACUCCACGAAGCUGGAUUCGCUAGUAAUCGCGCAUCAGCCACGGCGCGGUGAAUACGUUCCCG